GACGAACGCUGGCGGCGUGCUUAACACAUGCAAGUCGAACGGAAAGGCCCCUUUGGGGGUACUCGAGUGGCGAACGGGUGAGUAACACGUGAGUAACCUGCCCUUGACUUCGGGAUAACUUCAGGAAACUGGGGCUAAUACCGGAUAGGAAUCCUUGCUGCAUGGUGGGGGUUGGAAAGCUUCGGCGGUUUUGGAUGGACUCGCGGCUUAUCAGCUUGUUGGUGGGGUAGUGGCUUACCAAGGCUUUGACGGGUAGCCGGCCUGAGAGGGCGACCGGCCACAUUGGGACUGAGAUACGGCCCAGACUCCUACGGGAGGCAGCAGUGGGGAAUAUUGCACAAUGGGCGGAAGCCUGAUGCGGCAACGCCGCGUGCGGGAUGACGGCCUUCGGGUUGUAAACCGCUUUCAGCAGGGGCGAAGCUUGUGGUGACGGUACCUGCAGAAGAAGCACCGGCUAACUACGUG
RNAcentral lists this ribosomal RNA (465 nucleotides) under uncultured bacterium. RNAcentral describes it as "partial 16S ribosomal RNA". It matches the Rfam family "Bacterial small subunit ribosomal RNA", at positions 28 to 507 of the family's 1533-position model. The record is from RNAcentral.